UACACGCAAGUGUGACGGGGCUACCCAAAGUGCUCCAUAUAGGAGCUGUGGUAGGUGCGUAAUGUUCCCUACUAGAAAGGAGAGGGCAAGGCUGGUGCCAGCCGCCGCGGUAAAACCAGCUCUUCAAGUGGUCGGGAUAAUUAUUGGGCUUAAAGUGUCCGUAGCUGGUAAGGUAAGUUCCUGGUAAAAUUGGGCAGCUUAACUGUCCUUAUGCUAGGAAUACUGCUUUACUAGAGGGCGGGAGAGGUCUGAGGUACUACAGGGGGUAGGAGUGAAAUCUUAUAAUCCUUGUAGGACCACCAGUGGCGAAGGCGUCAGACUGGAACGCGCCUGACGGUGAGGGACGAAAGCCAGGGGAGCGAACCGGAUUAGAUACCCGGGUAGUCCUGGCCGUAAACGAUGCACACUAGAUGAUGGUGCGGCCAUGAGCCGUAUCAGUGUCGUAGGGAAACCGUUAAGUGUGCCGCCUGGGAAGUACGGUCGCAAGGCUUAAACUUAAAGGAAUUGGCGGGGGAGCACCACAAGGGGUGAAGCCUGCGGUUCAAUUGGACUCAACGCCGGGCAACUUACCAGGGGAGACAGCAGAAUGAAGGUCAGGUUGACGACCUUACCUAACAAGCUGAGAGGAGGUGCAUGGCCGUCGCCAGUUCGUGCUGUGAGGUAUCCUGUUAAGUCAGGCAACGAACGAGACCCGUGCCUUUAUUUGCCAUCAAGAAGUCACGACUUCGUUGGGAACGAUAAAGGGACUGCCGUCGAUAAGACGGAGGAAGGAGCGGGCAAAGGCAGGUCAGUAUGCCCCGAAACCCCUGGGCUACACGCGGGCUGCAAUGGUGCGAACAAUGGGCUGUGACUCCGACAGGAGAAACCAAUCCCGAAAUCGCAUCUCAGUUGGGAUUGUCAACUGUAACCCGUUGACAUGAACGUGGAAUCCCUAGU
Molecule: ribosomal RNA, 936 nt
Filed under: uncultured crenarchaeote
Lineage: Archaea; Thermoproteati; Thermoproteota
Description: bacterial SSU rRNA
Rfam family: Archaeal small subunit ribosomal RNA
Source: RNAcentral